AGCAGCCGCGGUAAUUCCAGCUCCAAUAGCGUAUAUUAAAGUUGUUGCAGUUAAAAAGCUCGUAGUUGAAUUUCGGGAUCAAGUCGUCGGUCGUGCCUCGGUACGCACUGGUGACAUUGGUUUCUCCCUUCUGAAGAACCUUGAUGUCAUUAAUUUGGUGUCUUGGGAAAUCAGGACUGUUACUUUGAAAAAAAUUGAGUGUUUAAAGCAGGCUCACGCUUGAAUACAUUAGCAUGGAAUAAUGAAAUAGGACGUUUGAUUCUAUUUUGUUGGUUUCUAGGAUCGACGUAAUGAUUAAUAGGGAUAGUUGGGGGCAUUAGUAUUCAAUUGUCAGAGGUGAAAUUUCUUGGAUUUAUUGAAGACUAACUACUGCGAAAGCAUUUGCCAAGGAUGUUUUCAUUAAUCAAGAACGAAAGUUAGGGAUCGAAGACGAAUCAGAUACCGUCGUAGUCUUAACCAUAAACUAUGCCGACUAGGGAUCGGAUGAUGUUAAUUUUUAAUGACUCAUUCGGNGCCUUAA
This 520-nucleotide ribosomal RNA is filed under the name uncultured Glomus. Its description in RNAcentral is "SSU rRNA". It matches the Rfam family "Eukaryotic small subunit ribosomal RNA", at positions 569 to 1091 of the family's 1831-position model. Lineage: Eukaryota; Fungi; Glomeromycota; Glomeromycetes; Glomerales; Glomeraceae. The record is from RNAcentral.